This 68-nucleotide small nuclear RNA is filed under the name Sorex araneus (European shrew). RNAcentral's name for it is "U1 spliceosomal RNA (ENSSARG00000019724.1)". Lineage: Eukaryota; Metazoa; Chordata; Mammalia; Eulipotyphla; Soricidae. The record is from RNAcentral.
AGGGCGAGGUUAUCCAUUGCACUCCGGAUGUGCUGACCCCUGCGAUUUCCCCCAAUGUGGGAAACUUG